UCAUGGCCCAGGGGUUGGGGACCGCUGGUCUAUCUAAACCCUGCCAUAUUUAAAACUUAGCGCAGCCCUGUUUAGUUAUCCUGGUGCAAGCUUUAGCUUGCUCAACAGGGCUGAAAAAUUAGCCUAAUGCAAGAUGGCCAAAAACUGCAGUUUUUUUUGCAGUUUGUUGUUACCUGAAUUCUGUUUUCUUACUCCUCCCAAUUCAAGUGUGUAAUCCUAGCUACGGUGGCCGCUGUAGGACAAAUAACUCCGUUAGUCCGUCAGUCUGCUGUUUACCUCAGUUAAACACUGUGUCCACCUCUCUUUACUCUGGACCAGGCUGUAAAAAAGACGCCGAUAAAAGUCGAUGAGUCGACAAAGCUUCUUCACUUCUUUCUGAUGAUACUGAGAGUAUGAGCAUGAACCCCGUCAUAGUGGAGAGUGGAUAGUGAGCUGCUGCAGAGCGAGGCACCGGCAGCUAAAAAUCAGAUUCAUUGAUACGGGAAACAAAGAGUCCAGAUGGAACGGCGUCCUAUCCAAACGAUCGGGCACACCCUGUCAGCUCCGAGAACCUCCAGCCUUCUGCAACCCUGCAUGGAUAAGCAGUUAAGAAGAUAGAUGGAUGGAGUUCUCUUCUGGUCUCGUUAGGCAGAGAGUGUAGUAUGAACACAGUCUGAAGAUCAAUGAAAGCCGAUUGUAGUAGUCCGGCGUGUUCGUAGUGAGAGGCUGCUAAUGGACUCGUGUGAACCAGUUCAGCCGUUUCGCAUAUGUGCCGACGAACUGUACAGCCUGGGAGUGGGAACGCUGUCACUUUUGCAGUGCGCAACAACAAUGGCGAGAAAAAUCUGAGGCCUUUUCAGUGAUAUGAAUGCAGAAGCACAGAUUUACAGAUGACACAGAGGGAGCUGCUGCAACUAGAAAAGAUGAAACCUGGAGAAAACAGUUCUGAGAGCUUCUAAACCAGCAGUGAUGCAGAGGUUUGUCUGAUUACAGCCACGCUUACUGUGACAAUAGUAACAUGUUAGCAUUAGCAGACAUUCACCGUAUCAAUUUACUUUCAUUUUUAAUAAACCUCAGUUUUUUUAAAAGACUUAUAGGCAUUAAUAACUUCUACCAGCUGUGGUAUUCUCUACUUUGAAGAAAAAUCUAGCUUGACACGAACACUUAUUCCCCGCUCAGGCGCUCAUAUCCAACUAAAGUCUGAUUGACAGCACAAAGGUGCUGUCCCGAGCACACUGGUCUUCGAGGCUGAUGGGAAUAUCAUCCGUUUUGCAGGUAAUCAGGUCAAAGCUGUAGACCGAUUACAAUUUGUUCUUAUGAUUAGACACAUGGAUUGAUGUUCAUA
Oreochromis aureus is the source of this 1324-nucleotide long non-coding RNA. RefSeq lists it as uncharacterized. The record is from RefSeq and is a predicted model, not a curated record. The transcript is spliced from 3 exons. Lineage: Eukaryota; Metazoa; Chordata; Actinopteri; Cichliformes; Cichlidae.